GACGUACGCUGGCGGCGUGCUUAACACAUGCAAGUCGAACGGAAAGGCCCUGCUUUUGUGGGGUGCUCGAGUGGCGAACGGGUGAGUAACACGUGAGUAACCUGCCCUUGACUUUGGGAUAACUUCAGGAAACUGGGGCUAAUACCGGAUAGGAGCUCCUGCUGCAUGGUGGGGGUUGGAAAGUUUCGGCGGUUGGGGAUGGACUCGCGGCUUAUCAGCUUGUUGGUGGGGUAGUGGCUUACCAAGGCUUUGACGGGUAGCCGGCCUGAGAGGGUGACCGGCCAAAUGGGGACGGGGAUCCGGCCCGGACUCAUACGGGGGGAAGGAGUGGGGAAUAUUGCCAAAUGGGGGGAAGCCUGAUGCAGAAACGCCGGGUGGGGGAUGACGGCUUUGGGGUUGUAAACCGUUUUCGCCUGUGAGGAAGCGUGGGGAGGGGAAAUGGGAAAAGAAGCACCGGCAACCUAGGU
RNAcentral lists this ribosomal RNA (467 nucleotides) under uncultured bacterium. Its description in RNAcentral is "partial 16S ribosomal RNA". It matches the Rfam family "Bacterial small subunit ribosomal RNA", at positions 28 to 506 of the family's 1533-position model. The record is from RNAcentral.